Molecule: microRNA precursor, 60 nt
Filed under: Tursiops truncatus (common bottlenose dolphin)
Lineage: Eukaryota; Metazoa; Chordata; Mammalia; Artiodactyla; Delphinidae
Description: miRNA (ENSTTRG00000025026.1)
Source: RNAcentral
GCCAAAAAGUUCGUUCGGGUUUUUGGGUAAGAUGUUAAAUACCCGAACAAACUUUUGGGC